RNAcentral lists this ribosomal RNA (751 nucleotides) under uncultured Filifactor sp. RNAcentral describes it as "bacterial SSU rRNA". It matches the Rfam family "Bacterial small subunit ribosomal RNA", at positions 28 to 776 of the family's 1533-position model. The record is from RNAcentral. Lineage: Bacteria; Bacillati; Bacillota; Clostridia; Peptostreptococcales; Filifactoraceae.
GAUGAACGCUGGCGGCGUGCUUAACACAUGCAAGUCGAACGAACGACUAUUAACAGAACCUUUCGGGGCGAAGAAUAUAGAAGUUAGUGGCGGACGGGUGCGUAACGCGUGAGUAAUCUGCCUUUGUCAAAGGAAUAACUAUUCGAAAGAAUAGCUAAAACCGUAUAACAUAUUAAUAGGGCAUCCUAAUAAUAUCAAAACGGUAGUGGACAAAGAUGAGCCCGCGUCUGAUUAGCUAGUUGGUGAGAUAAAAGCCCACCAAGGCAACGAUCAGUAGCCGACCUGAGAGGGUGAACGGCCACAUUGGAACUGAGACACGGUCCAAACUCCUACGGGAGGCAGCAGUGGGGAAUAUUGCACAAUGGGGGGAACCCUGAUGCAGCAACGCCGCGUGAGUGAAGAAGGCAUUCGUGUCGUAAAACUCUGUAGUAGGGGAAGAAAGAAAUGACAGUACCCUAAAAGAAAGCCCCGGCUAACUACGUGCCAGCAGCCGCGGUAAUACGUAGGGGGCAAGCGUUAUCCGGAAUAACUGGGCGUAAAGGGUGCGCAGGUGGUUUAACAAGUUAGUGGUGAAAGGCAUAGGCUCAACCAAUGUAAGCCAUUAAAACUGUUUAACUUGAGUGCAGGAGAGGAAAGUGGAAUUCCUAGUGUAGCGGUGAAAUGCGUAGAUAUUAGGAGGAAUACCAGUGGCGAAGGCGACUUUCUGGACUGCAACUGACACUGAGGCACGAAAGCGUGGGGAGCAAACAGG